RNAcentral lists this ribosomal RNA (205 nucleotides) under uncultured bacterium. Its description in RNAcentral is "partial 16S ribosomal RNA". It matches the Rfam family "Bacterial small subunit ribosomal RNA", at positions 570 to 774 of the family's 1533-position model. The record is from RNAcentral.
CGUAGGUGGUUCUGUAUGUCUAUCGUGAAAGCGUACGGCUCAACCGUAUUUUGUCGGUAGAAACUGCAGGACUUGAGGCUGGGAGGGGCUGGUGGAAUUCCCUGUGUAGCGGUGAAAUGCGUAGAGAUGGGGGAGAACACUCGUGGCGAAGGCGGCCAGCUAGACCAGUUCUGACACUGAGGCGCGACAGCGUGGGGAGCAAACA